RNAcentral lists this ribosomal RNA (253 nucleotides) under uncultured bacterium. Its description in RNAcentral is "partial 16S ribosomal RNA". It matches the Rfam family "Bacterial small subunit ribosomal RNA", at positions 524 to 776 of the family's 1533-position model. The record is from RNAcentral.
UACGGGGGGGGCAAGCGUUGUUCGGAAUUACUGGGCGUAAAGGGCUCGUAGGCGGCCAACUAAGUCGGAUGUGAAAUCCCCAGGCUCAACCUGGGAACUGCAUCCGAUACUGGAUGGCUUGAAUUUGGGAGAGGGAUGCAGAAUUCCAGGUGUAGCGGUGAAAUGCGUAGAUAUUAGGAAGAACACCAGUGGCGAAGGCGGCUCACUGGUCCGGUACUGACGCUGAGGUGCGAAAGCGUGGGGAGCAAACAGG